CUUUUGCAGCAUAUCAUUAAUGUCACCUUCAUGCUCUUUUGAAUAUUCUAAACUGUACAAUGCACAUUGCAAAAGUCACAGGUUAACAUAGCUAUUGCAUAAAAAAUACAACUUUGUCGAGUAGAAUAAUUAAAAUGUCAAAUGUGUAGUAACAAUUGACAUAUAGGUGGUUUUGUUACCUGGGUAGUGAAUUAGCGGAGCUGUCUUUUGGACUGAUGUAGGUGGUGAAGGUGCUUGCGGUAAACCUAGUGAGCGUAGGCGCUGCUUGUUGGCUUCCUCAAGAUCUCCAGGUCGUACAAACCUUGAAUGACCCUUCACAACUAAUAAAAUGACAAUCAUAAAACUUCUUGAAGAUAAACUUGCUAAAAUUAAGCCAAUAAUAUAUCAAGAGUCAUAUUGUGAAAUUAGAGUGAGUUCUAGUAUGUCUCAUUUCCCUAAAUUGCUACUUUUUAUAUUAACUCUUAAAGAACCCAUUUUUAUAAUUCAUAGUUGAGAGAAAUUAAACACAGAGUACAAAGAAAACAAAAAUGAGAGAAUGUGAGGGACAUGUUACAACAUUGUAGGGUCUCCUCUAUAUCCUUUGUACUUAGAAAGAAAAAAAAAUAUAUCGUUUCAAUGGAAACAUUAAACAAGUCCUAAUUGCAUCAUAUCCUAUCUAACAAUAACACAACUUAUCCGAGGUUUUUUCGACCACUACCAAUCCCAACAAAACAUCCUAUAUCUAACAAAAUCCAAAAACAUUGAGAAGAGCAAAUAAUCAAAACAAAAAUCAUAUAAAUCCCCUUUCUAUUUCAAUUAAGUUUCUAAAUUCUUUCUAAACCAGUAACCUAAGCUUCAAAAAACAAAAUUUAGAGAGAAAUAGAGGGUUUACCUUGAGUUAUUGAUGAUGGAGAUGACUAAAACGUUGCAAACAAAGAACAAGGGUAGUUUUGAGCGAACCGUCACAGGUCUAGUGUCGCAAAGUACAAAAUUGUAGUGAUUAAUGGGGUUUUAGGGUUUGAUUGGAUUUGAUGAUCGGUGAUGGGUAUGAUUGAAUGGAUUGGAGGAAUGUUUUCAAGAUUGGNNNNNNNNNNNNNNNNNNNNNNNNNNNNNNNNNNNAUGAUGAGAGAGAGAGAGAGAGAGAGAGAGAGAGAGAGAGAGAGAGAGAGAAGAAGAGUGUUUUUG
This 1164-nucleotide long non-coding RNA is filed under the name Trifolium pratense (red clover). RNAcentral describes it as "long non-coding RNA (TPRA_LNC006451)". The record is from RNAcentral. Lineage: Eukaryota; Viridiplantae; Streptophyta; Magnoliopsida; Fabales; Fabaceae.